Non-coding RNA from Myotis lucifugus (little brown bat), 75 nucleotides. The record is from Rfam. NCBI's taxonomy places the organism in Eukaryota, Metazoa, Chordata, Mammalia, Chiroptera, Vespertilionidae.
AGUGGUUCUUGGGUGAUGCACCCUGGAAUUGGGCUCUCUCCUCUCUGGUUCUGGGUGUGUCACCUGAGAACCGCC